Molecule: long non-coding RNA, 233 nt
Filed under: Lathyrus oleraceus (garden pea)
Lineage: Eukaryota; Viridiplantae; Streptophyta; Magnoliopsida; Fabales; Fabaceae
Description: Pisum sativum (pea) long non-coding RNA (PSAT_LNC039917)
Source: RNAcentral
UUUCGCAUAUAACUAUCAUCCAAGCACCUUGUUCAUGCCUCAUCAUGCCGUGCCGGAGUUUAGAUUUCUUGUAGACUUGGAACAACACAUUUUUCUAUGUAGAGUAAUUGUUCAAUUUUUUUUAUUAUCUCUUUAAUUUGAAAGAUCAUAUGUUUUGGUUUCUUUAGAAAUUUGAUGUGAGGGUAGCUUACUUUUUGGCUCAACAUUUUUGCUCCAGGCCCGUGUUUCUUAUA